RNAcentral lists this transfer RNA (75 nucleotides) under Marmota monax (woodchuck). RNAcentral's name for it is "tRNA.Ala". The stretch from base 11 to 68 matches the Rfam family "tRNA", at positions 8 to 63 of the family's 71-position model. Rfam says of the family: Transfer RNA (tRNA) molecules are approximately 80 nucleotides in length. Their secondary structure includes four short double-helical elements and three loops (D, anti-codon, and T loops). Lineage: Eukaryota; Metazoa; Chordata; Mammalia; Rodentia; Sciuridae. The record is from RNAcentral.
GCUGGGGAUAUAGCUCAGUUGGUAGAGUGCUUGCCUUGCAUGCACAAGGCCCUGGGUUCAAUCCCCAGCACAACA